UCACCAAGAAGAGCUCACUGCAAGCGUUACAAGAUGCUGAAAGCAGGGGCGGCUUUGUUCCUUUCUUCCCUGCUGUGGAAUUAGGACUCUGUUUUCCACUGGACCGGAAAUAAGGAAAAAAAUGAAAGCAGAUCCACAAGCCAGGUCUGGUUUUAAUCAGAGCAUAAUCUUUAUGAGACAACGCAAGGCUGAGAAUUUUUUAAUCUGAUAUUUUGAAAGAAAAAUCCGUGUUCCAAAAUGAUACAAACCAAUCAGCCUUAGAAGAACGAUGGAAAAAAGAAAUCUCUUGCAUAAAAGAGAAGCAGGAAAUUCCAGAGAAGUUUCACAGGGAGGAGGGGAAAACCCAAGGUGUAAAGAUAAUUCAGAAGAAAAUACAAUGUUUUCAACUAACGCAGAUGAAACAGUUGGAUAUUCUUAUGCAAAAAAUGAUUCCAGUCCAAUCCUGGCACUUAUACGAAAAGCAGCGGGCCGGGGCACCCGGCUAAGGAAACUCCAGGCCGUGAGAAGCCACCGCAAGGCUGUGAGCAGGAGAACGACGUUGUGACACGACCAAAGCAUGAAACUACCUCUGCGGCCAAACAGCUGGCGCUCCCUUCCUCAGCAAGUUCAGUUUUCCCUGGAACUCCGAGGCCAGCAGAAAACUCCGGAAACUGAAAGCAUGAAAACUCCAGGGUUCCCAGAGGAAACUGGACCACCCCGAACCUUUCUAAAACGGGUGAUCACCGACCCAAUUACAAGUCAGGAAAAUGGUCUCCGGGGGAAUGAGUUUUCUGAGGUCUCAGAACGUUUUCCCUGGGCUGAGAACAUUUGGACUCGAGGUUUGGGUUUCGCAUCUGGAAAGGGAAAAAUAUGUGGUGCCUCUCUCUCCUCAGGAGAUCAGAGCAGAGGGGCCCGUGACCGGGCCUGAGGGCUCCAGGGCAGGCGGCAAGGCAGGGCCCUCUCCCCACUCCUGUACCAGCUGCGUAGGACGCUGCCUCCCGUGGCUCUCUCUCUCUGCACCCACUCCAGCUGGACACGCACGUCACCAGCGUUUACUGCUGGGCUGGCCUUCCAGAAGCUCAAUCCCAUGGACUUUUGAUGACAGGGAUUUUCAGUGUUUAGCUAGUCAGGUUUCGCAGUUUUUCUCCAGUGGAUAGAAAGCCCUGACUUCCUUUGUUUCUAAUUAAAGGCAGAUGGGCAGCGGAUGGCCUGCCUCUUCCUCGUCCCUCCGUGUGAGAGUA
Kogia breviceps (pygmy sperm whale) is the source of this 1220-nucleotide non-coding RNA. Lineage: Eukaryota; Metazoa; Chordata; Mammalia; Artiodactyla; Physeteridae. The record is from RefSeq and is a predicted model, not a curated record.